Molecule: ribosomal RNA, 492 nt
Filed under: uncultured bacterium
Lineage: Bacteria
Description: bacterial SSU rRNA
Rfam family: Bacterial small subunit ribosomal RNA
Source: RNAcentral
AAAUGAAUAGACGGGGGCCCGCACAAGCAGCGGAGCAUGUGGCUUAAUUCGAAGCAACGCGAAGAACCUUACCUGGGCUUGACGUGCCGGGAAAAGCCGGGGAGACCCGGUGUGCGGAAGCGCCCGGCGCAGGUGGUGCAUGGCUGUCGUCAGCUCGUGCCGUGAGGUGUUGGGUUAAGUCCCGCAACGAGCGCAACCCCCGCCGCGUGUUGCCAUCAGGUCAAGCUGGGCACCCGCGCGGGACCGCCGGGGCCAACCCGGAGGAAGGUGGGGACGACGUCAAGUCAUCAUGCCCCUCACGCCCAGGGCUGCACACGUGCUACAAUGGCCGGCACAGCGGGUUGCGACCUGGCGACAGGAAGCGGAUCCCCCAAAGCCGGCCCCAGUUCGGACCGGGGGCUGCAACCCGCCCCCGCGAAGUCGGAGUUGCUAGUAAUCGCGGAUCAGCACGCCGCGGUGAAUGCGUUCCCGGGCCUUGUACACACCGCCCGU